This 391-nucleotide long non-coding RNA is filed under the name Elaeis guineensis (African oil palm). RNAcentral's name for it is "long non-coding RNA (EGUI_LNC079675)". Lineage: Eukaryota; Viridiplantae; Streptophyta; Magnoliopsida; Arecales; Arecaceae. The record is from RNAcentral.
CCCCCCCCCCUCUUUCAAUAAUAGAGAGGCCUAAGAAGACCUCGGCCUUUCUUCCUCUUCUUUCUCAAAACAACAACCUCCCCUAAAAAAAACUUUGGGGUUUGAACGAUUAAAGGAGGAUCCAACCCAAACCAAGGUCAGGUGGCUCUCCCUCACUUCAUUUCUUCCCUCUUUGUGUCAACAUCAAAAAACGCCAAGAAAAUUGGAAAAUAAAGGGAGGUCAUGCCAAAAUUUUUGAUUUUGGCAUGAAAUCAUGACAUGUUGUAGAUCUAUGGAUGAUCUACACAAUGACUCUAGAACCUUAAUUUUUGUUAAAUAGAUAAUUUUUUAAAUUAAAAAAUAUAUUUUCAGAUUAAAAAAAUAUAAACUAAUAAAAUCUAAAAAAUAACUG